GAUGAACGCUGGCGGCGUGCUUAACACAUGCAAGUCGAACGAAGCAUUUAGGACAGAUUACUUCGGUUUGAAGUUCUUUAUGACUGAGUGGCGGACGGGUGAGUAACGCGUGGGUAACCUGCCUUGUACUGGGGGAUAGCAGCUGGAAACGGCUGGUAAUACCGCAUAAGCGCACAAUGUUGCAUGACAUGGUGUGAAAAACUCCGGUGGUAUAAGAUGGACCCGCGUCUGAUUAGCUAGUUGGUGAGAUAACAGCCCACCAAGGCGACGAUCAGUAGCCGACCUGAGAGGGUGACCGGCCACAUUGGGACUGAGGCACGGCCCAGACUCCUACGGGAGGCAGCAGUGGGGAAUAUUGCACAAUGGAGGAAACUCUGAUGCAGCGACGCCGCGUGAGUGAAGAAGUAAUUCGUUAUGUAAAGCUCUAUCAGCAGGGAAGAUAGUGACGGUACCUGACUAAGAAGCUCCGGCUAAAUACGUG
This 481-nucleotide ribosomal RNA is filed under the name uncultured bacterium. Its description in RNAcentral is "partial 16S ribosomal RNA". It matches the Rfam family "Bacterial small subunit ribosomal RNA", at positions 28 to 507 of the family's 1533-position model. The record is from RNAcentral.